Molecule: long non-coding RNA, 1781 nt
Organism: Sciurus carolinensis (gray squirrel)
Lineage: Eukaryota; Metazoa; Chordata; Mammalia; Rodentia; Sciuridae
Exons: 2
Source: RefSeq, a predicted model, not a curated record
GCGGCGGCCUCUGCCCCGCUCCCUCCUGGCUCAGAACCACUUGGCCUGGGACCCAGAGGCGCAGCCUUGCUGUCGGGAAGGGUCUCAGCACUCAGUCUUCGUUUCACAAGAGGAGACAGUGUGGCCCGGGGAACACUCUGAAAGGCAGGGCCGCCUUCCUCGCAAGAGCAAAUUCCCGAGCACGCGGGUUACGCGGCAGGACUGCUCUCGGCCAACUUUCCACCGUCAGGUUUGAGAUGCUCUUCCAAAGCCGUGUGCUCCUUGGGACCCAUUAAACAGGCUUUCUUUGAUAAUGUUCAAUUCGACUUAUCCAAUUUAAAUAUUUGCUCUGAUCAGCGACCAUCGGAUCCCAGCUUCAUUUCAGGCUGCAGAAUAAUUUCUCUGGAUUCUCCCCCGCUGCCCGGUGGGCCCAGGGCAGCACGGCUCUUCCCAGCUCCCGAGCUCCGGGCUGUCCGGUGCACCGUGCAGCGGAGGAAUAGCACCAUAAACCCGACCUGAAGGCUGCUUUUACAAUGUUUACCGGGCCUGCCCUCACUUCUGUCUGACGAAGACAGGGAUUAUUUAAAGGGUUCCUCCUCGCCAGAUAAUUAUAAGGAGAGAUUAGUUUUUUAAAGGUAGAGCUUCAGAAUGUAAAGAAAUUGCCAAGGAGAUGAUGUUUGCUGAGCGAGAUUCUGCACUAGCCGCUUCCCCUGAUUUGGGAGAUUUUUAUAACCAGUAUCGACACCAAAUGGAUGGCCAUUCCUUAGGAGUCAAGCUGCCAGGGCAGGAGCAGAGGAAGAAGGAUCACUUCGGCAUUUUAAGUCAAUGUGUUUUUAAAGGAGCGAAUGCCGCUUCCAUUCCCACUAUCUGUGGGGCUCCAUGUAGCCCCUUUGGGUACCAUUUUUACUAUUAUUUUGACUUUACUGACACAGUAUUAGAGACAAUCCCUUUGGAUUUUGUUUUCGUGUGCUGCCUUUACGAACCCGAGCCCUGGGCUGUCCCCUCUGGAGGGAUCAUAAAGUCAUUCAUAACAGUGUCAACACCGGCCACUCCACUCCCGGGUGCAGCCCUGGGGAGACACCGAGGGGCGGUGGGAGGAACUCUGUCCCUUAUCUGAGCAACCCUAGGAAGGGGAGGGGGCUCUUCUGCAGUGAAAGGAACAUUUAUGAGCGCAGGGCCAGCGCCUGCCUUAUGGAGCCCGAGGGUGGGGGAUGCCACCCGCCUGCAGCCCGGAGUGUUUACCACCGGGUGAUUUACAGCGCCCAGGUGUUCCUGGGGAGACAUCCUGGCUCUGGGCGGACACGGAGAUGGCAUGGAUUGGUAGAUUUCGGCAUUUUUCUAUUUAUUAAUGAUCUGGGGCUCAAAAAGAUUUUUUUUUUUUAAUGGUCCAAAGCAGGUUCCUGCCUGUGGUCCUCCCUUAGGCGGACUGACGCCCCGGCAACCACCCCUGCCAAGCCCCCUGCACCGGCCCUGGGGACUCUCUACUCCUGAAAUCGCCCCUGCUCCCCUCCAGCUGGUUUCUGGGGUCCACUCCUGCCCUUCGGCCUCAGGGAGGCUGCAUGGCCACAGAGCCAGCCUCUGCUCUGCUGCCGCCGGCUUUGCCCCGUCCAGAGAGCUCUGCCGGGGCUCCCGCCCUGGAGGCCACUGUCUGUCACUCUGCUCUGCUAAUGUUUUGGUCCCUGACACCUGAGCAGGGGGGGAGGUGGCCCUCACAGUCCCACCCCCAACUUAAAGCAAGCCCCAGGAAAUAAAAUGGUUUAUUUGAAAAAAAAAAAAAAAAAAAAACCCGUAUUUCAAAAACU